This 460-nucleotide ribosomal RNA is filed under the name uncultured bacterium. RNAcentral's name for it is "partial 16S ribosomal RNA". It matches the Rfam family "Bacterial small subunit ribosomal RNA", at positions 338 to 795 of the family's 1533-position model. The record is from RNAcentral.
CCUACGGGCGGCAGCAGUGAGGAAUAUUGGUCAAUGGACGAGAGACUGAACCAGCCAAGUAGCGUGAAGGAUGAAUGCCCUAUGUGUUGUAAACUUCUUUUAUAAAGGAAUAAAACGAGGCACGUGUGCCUGUUUGCAUGUACUUUAUGAAUAAGGAUCGGCUAACUCCGUGCCAGCAGCCGCGGUAAUACGGAGGAUCCGAGCGUUAUCCGGAUUUAUUGGGUUUAAAGGGAGCGUAGAUGGGUUGGUAAGUCAGUUGUGAAAGUUUGCGGCUCAACCGUAAAAUUGCAAUUGAUACUGGCAGUCUUGAGUACAGUUGAGGUAGGCGGAAUGCGUGGUGUAGCGGUGAAAUGCUUAGAUAUCGCGAAGAACCCCGAUUGCGAAGGCAGCUUACUAACCUGUGACUGACAUUGAGGCUCGAAAGUGUGGGUAUCAAACAGGAUUAGAUACCCCUGUAGUC